Paramisgurnus dabryanus is the source of this 453-nucleotide non-coding RNA. NCBI's taxonomy places the organism in Eukaryota, Metazoa, Chordata, Actinopteri, Cypriniformes, Cobitidae. The record is from RefSeq and is a predicted model, not a curated record.
GAAGGCACUACUCCUUUAUUCCUCUCCUCUUCACAGCCCUUCCUUUUAAUUUGACCACGGCUCUCUCUGGCAAAGCUGUGAUGCUGAUAAAAAAGAAAGAAAACCAAACACAUUUGUAACAACAUAACUGAUGUGUGAGCGUAGACUAUCAGCUUGCCCAGAGGGGUCUGCUCUCACUUGUCAUGGGAUGGAGAGAAAGAGACCCCCAAAGACACCUGUCUGACACCUCUCAUCAGAGUACUAUCUCGGAUCCAGCAGAGGGCCACUGAGGGUCUGAAAUAUCACACCUUUAAGCUACUGUUUGCACUCAGCGCCUGUCAUAUCCACUUUAGAAAACAACAGCCCGGGGGUGUGCGAAAGAGGCAAGCCAUUGUAAUAAAAAAAAAGUGCUGAAAAAAGCUAAAUAUGUUGUAUUAUGGUAUCAUAAUACAUCGUGUCAUCCACAAUGCAAUG